RNAcentral lists this ribosomal RNA (468 nucleotides) under uncultured bacterium. RNAcentral's name for it is "bacterial SSU rRNA". It matches the Rfam family "Bacterial small subunit ribosomal RNA", at positions 29 to 503 of the family's 1533-position model. The record is from RNAcentral.
AUUGAACGCUGGCGGCAGGCCUAACACAUGCAAGUCGAGCGGCAGCGCGGGGGCAACCCUGGCGGCGAGCGGCGAACGGGUGAGUAAUACAUGGGAAUCUGCCUGGUAGUGGGGAUAACUCUGGGAAACUAGAGGUAAUACCGCAUACGUCCUACGGGAGAAAGGGGGGAGUCUUCGGACCUCUCGCUAUCAGAGGAGCCCAUGUCCGAUUAGCUAGUUGGUGAGGUAAAGGCUCACCAAGGCGACGAUCGGUAACUGGUCUGAGAGGAUGGUCAGUCACACUGGAACUGAGACACGGUCCAGACUCCUACGGGAGGCAGCAGUGGGGAAUAUUGGACAAUGGGGGCAACCCUGAUCCAGCCAUGCCGCGUGUGUGAAGAAGGCCUUCGGUUGGUUAAAGACACUUUAAAGUUAGGGGAGGGAAGGGACGUCGUACGUGAAUAUCGUGCGGGAGGUGACGGUUAACCC